Actinomyces sp. oral taxon 175 is the source of this 89-nucleotide non-coding RNA. NCBI's taxonomy places the organism in Bacteria, Bacillati, Actinomycetota, Actinomycetes, Actinomycetales, Actinomycetaceae. The record is from Rfam.
GAUCGUGACACGGGGUGCCACAUGGCUGAGAACACACCCGUCGAACCUGUCCAGCUAGUACUGACGAAGGGAUGUCACAUGCACUGGGG